Molecule: non-coding RNA, 61 nt
Organism: Triticum aestivum (bread wheat)
Lineage: Eukaryota; Viridiplantae; Streptophyta; Magnoliopsida; Poales; Poaceae
Source: Rfam
GUAGAGGAAUUGGUCAACUCAUCAGGCUCAUGACCUGAAGACUGCAGGUUCGAAUCCUGUC